GACUGGUCCGAAGGUACUGAGUUAUUGCCAUUGAGUGUUGACAAGUCAGUUCCAAGUGGAAUCCUUGUUCCAUUCCACUCUUUCCCUCCUUCUCACUACUGCACUUGACUGGUAAG
This is an unclassified non-coding RNA of Otolemur garnettii (small-eared galago), 116 nucleotides long. It matches the Rfam family "Y RNA". From Rfam's summary of the family: Y RNAs are components of the Ro ribonucleoprotein particle (Ro RNP), in association with Ro60 and La proteins. The Y RNAs and Ro60 and La proteins are well conserved, but the function of the Ro RNP is not known. In humans the RNA component can be one of four small RNAs -- hY1, hY3, hY4 and hY5. NCBI's taxonomy places the organism in Eukaryota, Metazoa, Chordata, Mammalia, Primates, Galagidae. The record is from Ensembl.